GAUGAAGAACGUAGCGAAAUGCGAUAAGUAAUGUGAAUUGCAGAAUUCAGUGAAUCAUCGAAUCUUUGAACGCACCUUGCGCUCCUUGGUAUUCCGAGGAGCAUGCCUGUUUGAGUGUCAUGAAAUUCUCAACCUUUUCAGCUUUCUUUGUUGAUCAGGCUUGGAUGUGGGAGUAUGCGGGCUUCUCAGAAGUCGGCUCUCCUGAAAUGCAUUAGCGGGACCUUUGUUGCCUGGCUUUGGUGUGAUAAUUAUCUACGCCAUUGUAGUCAAGCAGCUUAAAAUAAGGUUUCAGCUUCUAACCGUCUCCCCUGAGACAACUUUUUGACAAUUUGACCUCAAAUCAGGUAGGACUACCCGCUGAACUUAAGCAUAUCAAUAAGCGGAGGA
RNAcentral lists this unclassified non-coding RNA (387 nucleotides) under soil metagenome. RNAcentral's name for it is "partial contains 5.8S ribosomal RNA, internal transcribed spacer 2, and large subunit ribosomal RNA". The stretch from base 1 to 120 matches the Rfam family "5.8S ribosomal RNA", at positions 35 to 154 of the family's 154-position model. The record is from RNAcentral.